Long non-coding RNA from Hypanus sabinus (Atlantic stingray), 1596 nucleotides. RefSeq lists it as uncharacterized. The transcript is spliced from 3 exons. The record is from RefSeq and is a predicted model, not a curated record. Lineage: Eukaryota; Metazoa; Chordata; Chondrichthyes; Myliobatiformes; Dasyatidae.
CAAGCGGAGAACAAUCGCUCUGCAAUGUUUCCCCAGAGUUCUGGAGGUCCGGCUCGUUUUCCCAGGGAUUAGAAAAAUGAAGUGACACAAAUCAGGUCAGACUUCAGGGAUCAGAAGAAUGGAAAUGAACUGGAGAACCUGCAUGUUAAUUGUAACUUUACAAUGUUAACAUUAAUGACGGUGUGGCAACGGCUCCAGCAAAAUUGAAAAGACACUUCACUACAAAUCACGGCCAUGGCACGUAAAAGUACUGAUUAUUUUAAACAGCUAUUGGAACCUCAGAACAAACAGAGUAAAGAUUUGGCUAACAAAGUCACAGUCAGUAAAAGGGUUCAGGAAGCACUCUUCUGUUCAGGUUGCUGUCAAUGCAAUGCUCCUCAGACAGGAUGAAGAGAUCAUUACUCCCCAACGCCAUUCGGCUCUACAAUUCAACCUCCAGGGGCAAGACAUGUUAAAGUGCCGUAGCAGUAGCAGAACUGAUUUCCCAGAAAAGGAAGUCACACAGUUGGUGAGAAUCUAGUAAUGCCAGCAUGCAAAAUUAUAGUGGGUAAAUACUAGGAAAAGAUGCAGUUUGAGAUAUUGAAAGUGUUUCACUCUUUCAAGCAGUACAUGAUGACAUGUUACAUAACGCUGAAGAGAUUUUGUGUAAUAAACUGAAAGGCAACAGUUUGUCUUUCCAGGUUGAUGAGUCGAUUUCACCAAUAAGUAUAAUGUUGCUGCACUUGUAAGAUUUGUAAAUGAUAGUGAAAUUCAAGAAAACUUUUUCUGUUGCCAAGAGCUGCCCAAAACAGGCGAAGGACAAGAUAAGUUUAAAGUUUUGUCUUCACAUCUGGAAACAAAAGGUUUGUCUUGGAGGCCAGAUGAUGAAUGGGUGCAGACACUAGCCUACUUCGCCGACAUUUUUCAUCAUAUGAAUCAGCUGAACAAGUCCCUGCAAGGCCCCGAAGAAAAUGUCUUGACUUCAAGUGACAAGAUUCCUGGAAGUAAAAGGAAACUGAAUCAUGGGCAAAAAUGUGUUGCAAAAAGAAAUCUUCAAGUGUUUCCACAGCUGCGUGGGCUUGAGAGCGAGGAAGGAUAUCAGAAAGUUUUGAGUCUUAUUGAAAAACUAUCUGGAACAGCUGCAGAACAAAAUUGAACAAUAUUUCCCCUCCCUUUCAACACAAGUGUACGACUGAGUGAGGGGCCCUUUCUCUGAAACUUCGGCCCAGCCUGAGAACUUGACUUAUAGAGAAGAUGAAGAACUUUGUGAGCUGCCGUGCACUUAAGAUGAGAUUUACUGACCUGCCCCUGGACAAGUUCCGGAUUUCUGUGAAAGAAGAGUACACUGCCAUUCAGUUAAAAAUUUUCCCGCAGUUUUCAACUUCUUACACGCGUGAGCAAGCCUUUUCUGGUUUAACAAGCAAGGAUAGAAAUCGUCUCAUUUCAGUUGACUAUGAAAUCUGUGUGUGCUUAGCUGAAGUUUGACCCACAAUUGAGUAUUUGUGCAGCAAAAACAAGCACAAGUUUCACUUGCUAGACCUAUAUUUGAGCUGGAUCAUGUCACUUUUUAAGAAAAUGUUUUUUUCAAAGUCUUGAAUAAAAUUGAGUCAUAGGCUA